This 69-nucleotide transfer RNA is filed under the name Loxodonta africana (African savanna elephant). It matches the Rfam family "tRNA". From Rfam's summary of the family: Transfer RNA (tRNA) molecules are approximately 80 nucleotides in length. Lineage: Eukaryota; Metazoa; Chordata; Mammalia; Proboscidea; Elephantidae. The record is from Rfam by way of RNAcentral.
GUGGUGGCUUAGUGGUUAAAGCUUUUGACUGCUAACCAAAAGAUUGGUGGCUGAAAACCACUAGCCACU